GACGAACGCUGGCGGCGUGCUUAACACAUGCAAGUCGAACGGAAAGGCCCUGCUUUUGUGGGGUGCUCGAGUGGCGAACGGGUGAGUAACACGUGAGUAACCUGCCCUUGACUUUGGGAUAACUUCAGGAAACUGGGGCUAAUACCGGAUAGGAGCUCCUGCUGCAUGGUGGGGGUUGGAAAGUUUCGGCGGUUGGGGAUGGACGCGCGGCUUAUCAGCUUGUUGGUGGGGUAGUGGCUUACCAAGGCUUUGACGGGUAGCCGGCCUGAGAGGGUGACCGGCGACAAGGGUCCUACGAUACGGCGCAGAGUGCUAUGUGAGGCAACAGGGGCGAGUCUGGUCCAGUGAUCCGACGUCGGAGGAAGCGACGUUCGGUGUGGGAUGACGGCCUGUGGGGUGUGAACCGCUGUAGCCUAUUACGAAGCUUGACUGACGGUAAUGAGUAAAUAAGCACCGGCUAACUUCGUG
This 468-nucleotide ribosomal RNA is filed under the name uncultured bacterium. RNAcentral's name for it is "partial 16S ribosomal RNA". It matches the Rfam family "Bacterial small subunit ribosomal RNA", at positions 28 to 507 of the family's 1533-position model. The record is from RNAcentral.